RNAcentral lists this ribosomal RNA (371 nucleotides) under uncultured organism. RNAcentral describes it as "partial 16S ribosomal RNA". It matches the Rfam family "Bacterial small subunit ribosomal RNA", at positions 527 to 896 of the family's 1533-position model. The record is from RNAcentral.
GGAGGGUGCGAGCGUUAAUCGGAAUUACUGGGCGUAAAGCGCGCGUAGGCGGCUAGGUCAGUCGAAUGUGAAAGCCCCGGGCUUAACCUGGGAAUUGCACUCGAUACUGCCUGACUAGAGUAUGGGAGAGGGAAGUGGAAUUUCCGGUGUAGCGGUGAAAUGCGUAGAUAUCGGAAGGAACACCAGUGGCGAAGGCGACUUCCUGGCCCAAUACUGACGCUGAGGUGCGAAAGCGUGGGUAGCGAACAGGGAUUAGAUACCCUGGUAGUCCACGCCGUAAACGAUGAGAACUAGAUGUCGGGAGGAUUUACCUCUCGGUGUCGCAGCUAACGCGUUAAGUUCUCCGCCUGGGGAGUACGCCGGCAACGGUA